AUUGAACGCUGGCGGCAGGCCUAACACAUGCAAGUCGAACGAGUGGCGGACGGGUGAGUAAUGUCUGGGAAACUGCCCGAUGGAGGGGGAUAACUACUGGAAACGGUUGCUAAUACCGCAUACCAUCGGAUGUUCCCUGAUGGUAUUAGCUAGUAGGUGGGGUAACGGCUCACCUAGGCGACGAUCCCUAGCUGGUCUGAGAGGAUGAACAGCCACACGGGAACUGAGACACGGUCCAGACUCCUACGGGAGGCAGAAGUGGGGAAUAUUGCACAAUGGGCGCAAGCCUGAUGCAGCCAUGCCGCGUGUAUAAAGAAGGCCUUCGGGUUGUAAAGUACGUUCAGCGAGGAGGCGUUACUCGCAGAGGAAGCACCGGCUAACUCCGUGCCAGCAGCCGCGGUAAUAC
RNAcentral lists this ribosomal RNA (406 nucleotides) under uncultured bacterium. RNAcentral describes it as "partial 16S ribosomal RNA". It matches the Rfam family "Bacterial small subunit ribosomal RNA", at positions 30 to 526 of the family's 1533-position model. The record is from RNAcentral.